RNAcentral lists this ribosomal RNA (467 nucleotides) under uncultured bacterium. Its description in RNAcentral is "partial 16S ribosomal RNA". It matches the Rfam family "Bacterial small subunit ribosomal RNA", at positions 28 to 507 of the family's 1533-position model. The record is from RNAcentral.
GACGAACGCUGGCGGCGUUCUUAACACAUGCAAGUCGAACGGUGAAGCAGAGCUUGCUCUGUGGAUCAGUGGCGAACGGGUGAGUAACACGUGAGUAACCUGCCCUUGACUCUGGGAUAAGCGUUGGAAACGACGUCUAAUACCGGAUACGAGCUGAGACCGCAUGGUCAUCAGUUGGAAAGAUUUUUUGGUCAAGGAUGGACUCGCGGCCUAUCAGCUUGUUGGUGAGGUAAUGGCUCACCAAGGCGACGACGGGUAGCCGGCCUGAGAGGGUGACCGGCCACACUGGGACUGAGACACGGCCCAGACUCCUACGGGAGGCAGCAGUGGGGAAUAUUGCACAAUGGGCGCAAGCCUGAUGCAGCAACGCCGCGUGAGGGAUGACGGCCUUCGGGUUGUAAACCUCUUUUAGUAGGGAAGAAGCGAAAGUGACGGUACCUGCAGAAAAAGCACCGGCUAACUACGUG